This 476-nucleotide ribosomal RNA is filed under the name uncultured bacterium. RNAcentral describes it as "bacterial SSU rRNA". It matches the Rfam family "Bacterial small subunit ribosomal RNA", at positions 335 to 801 of the family's 1533-position model. The record is from RNAcentral.
ACUCCUACGGGAGGCAGCAGUAGGGAAUCUUCCACAAUGGGCGCAAGCCUGAUGGAGCAACACCGCGUGAGUGAAGAAGGGUUUCGGCUCGUAAAGCUCUGUUGUUAAAGAAGAACACGUAUGAGAGUAACUGUUCAUACGUUGACGGUAUUUAACCAGAAAGUCACGGCUAACUACGUGCCAGCAGCCGCGGUAAUACGUAGGUGGCAAGCGUUAUCCGGAUUUAUUGGGCGUAAAGAGAGUGCAGGCGGUUUUCUAAGUCUGAUGUGAAAGCCUUCGGCUUAACCGGAGAAGUGCAUCGGAAACUGGAUAACUUGAGUGCAGAAGAGGGUAGUGGAACUCCAUGUGUAGCGGUGGAAUGCGUAGAUAUAUGGAAGAACACCAGUGGCGAAGGCGGCUACCUGGUCUGCAACGUACGACGCUGAGACUCGAAAGCAUGGGUAGCGAACAGGAUUAGAUACCCUGGUAGGAUAGCG